AUACGCCAGUUGCUACGGCUAGUUCUGCAUGAGGUAAACCUACAUCCAGCCAUCCCUGCUCCGGCCCAGCUGUGGUUCCUCCUUCCGAUCAUCGGAAGAACCCCAGAGUUCUCAACACUCUGAACCCAGGCGCCUGAACCCGGGAGUCCCAGAGGUGCGACUGACGGAGGGUUAAAGGGCAUCGGCCUGUUUUACGUUAAGGGGCGGAUUGGCAAUAGGGUUUACAGAGAAGAUUCCCGGUGUGUCGAUGUGCAUGUGGGGCCUAUUUUUGUUUGUCGACAUGGGAGGGCUGGUGCUGCCGCCAUGGUUAUAUGGUAUACCUCUGGUGCUGUCCAUGUGAGGCCACUCCUACACAUUUUUCCUGGGCCACUCUAAGUUACCAAUCUGGCCCUGAUUUUAUAUUAUCAAAUAGGCCUUACAAGAGCUUUGUUAUGAUUAUGCUGUAUUUUCUAAUAAUGAGUGUUCCCUUUUCUUUUAUGUUGAUUGCUGAUGCAUAUGUACCCCCACCCCCCCAAAAAAAAAAAAUUCAAAAAAUUGUGACUUUCCUGCCAUAUGUUGCUUUAGACGUCAAUCCACAAUGAACCAGUCAGGUGCGGCCAGCUAGUACUGGCAUCAUCAAUUUGUAUUUGCACCAAUAUCUGGCCCUGCAAGGGAAUUGCGACUUACAGGCAUAUUUACAUCUCUGAUUGAGCCUGCGUUAUUCACAAUAACUAUUUGGACUGUGUUUGAUCACAUGAUAGAAGGCAAUAGAGUCAUCUGUAUCGCAGUAA
This is a long non-coding RNA of Pseudophryne corroboree (corroboree frog), 770 nucleotides long. RefSeq lists it as uncharacterized. The transcript is spliced from 3 exons. The record is from RefSeq and is a predicted model, not a curated record. NCBI's taxonomy places the organism in Eukaryota, Metazoa, Chordata, Amphibia, Anura, Myobatrachidae.